UCGGGAAUUUUGGGCAAUGGGCGAAAGCCUGACCCAGCAACGCCGCGUGAGGGAUGAAGUAUUUCGGUAUGUAAACCUCGAAAGAAUGGGAAGAAUAAAUGACGGUACCAUUUAUAAGCUCCGGCUAACUACGUGCCAGCAGCCGCGGUAAUACGUAGGGAGCAAGCGUUGUUCGGAUUUACUGGGCGUAAAGGGCGCGUAGGCGGCGCGGUAAGUCACUUGUGAAAUCUCUGAGCUUAACUCAGAACGGCCAAGUGAUACUGCUGUUCUAGAGUGCGGAAGAGGCAACCGGAAUUCUUGGUGUAGCGGUGAAAUGCGUAGAUAUCAAGAGGCACACCUGAGGCGAAGGCGGGUUGCUGGGCCGACACUGACGCUGAUGCGCGAAAGCCAGGGGAGCAAACG
This 402-nucleotide ribosomal RNA is filed under the name uncultured bacterium. Its description in RNAcentral is "bacterial SSU rRNA". It matches the Rfam family "Bacterial small subunit ribosomal RNA", at positions 355 to 774 of the family's 1533-position model. The record is from RNAcentral.